GGCAGCAGUGGGGAAUAUUGGACAAUGGGCGCAAGCCUGAUCCAGCCAUACCGCGUGGGUGAAGAAGGCCUUCGGGUUGUAAAGCCCUUUUGUUGGGAAAGAAAUCCAGCCGGCUAAUACCUGGUUGGGAUGACGGUACCCAAAGAAUAAGCACCGGCUAACUUCGUGCCAGCAGCCGCGGUAAUACGAAGGGUGCAAGCGUUACUCGGAAUUACUGGGCGUAAAGCGUGCGUAGGUGGUUAUUUAAGUCCGUUGUGAAAGCCCUGGGCUCAACCUGGGAACUGCAGUGGAUACUGGAUGACUAGAAUGUGGUAGAGGGUAGCGGAAUUCCUGGUGUAGCAGUGAAAUGCGUAGAGAUCAGGAGGAACAUCCAUGGCGAAGGCAGCUACCUGGACCAACAUUGACACUGAGGCACGAAAGCGUGGGGAGCAAACAGGAUUAGAUACCCUGGUAGUCCACGCCCUAAACGAUGCGAACUGGAUGUUGGGUGCAAUUUGGCACGCAGUAUCGAAGCUAACGCGUUAAGUUCGCCGCCUGGGGAGUACGGUCGCAAGACUGAAACUCAAAGGAAUUGACGGGGGCCCGCACAAGCGGUGGAGUAUGUGGUUUAAUUCGAUGCAACGCGAAGAACCUUAC
Molecule: ribosomal RNA, 636 nt
Filed under: uncultured Stenotrophomonas sp.
Lineage: Bacteria; Pseudomonadati; Pseudomonadota; Gammaproteobacteria; Lysobacterales; Lysobacteraceae
Description: bacterial SSU rRNA
Rfam family: Bacterial small subunit ribosomal RNA
Source: RNAcentral